Molecule: long non-coding RNA, 682 nt
Organism: Paramisgurnus dabryanus
Lineage: Eukaryota; Metazoa; Chordata; Actinopteri; Cypriniformes; Cobitidae
Source: RefSeq, a predicted model, not a curated record
AAUUUUGCGACCUAUUAUCUAAAUUGUGUGUUAAUGAAGGCCUGUACUGCAGUUUCCUGCAGACAACGUGAAACAUUGCUGAGGGAGAACUUUAUUCACAACAAAAGGAUAAAGAUGUAGAGGCGGGACUUGAGCAGCUUGUGAUGGCUGUAAUUGUAAAGAAUGGAUCUUCUUGGAGUGGCAGCACGAGGGAUGCUGGAAUUGUUAUCAAGGCCUUAAAGGUGUUCCCAGGGCAUGCUUUAUCCUCAUUGGAUUGGAUUAGAUAUAUGCAUUGAAUCUCCAGUAUCCCAGGCAUCUUUUCAGACUGCCGUGGUGCCUGUUGAGAGCCCGUCUGGCUCAGCCCAUCAACCCUCCUGUUUCUCCCCCUGUGGUCCCGCUGCGGAGGUUUGGUAAUUUGGUCGGCUUCUCCCUGGUGGUUGGGUAGAGAUUGCCCGAUCGUUCAGGCUUCUGCGCUGCGGCGCGUGCAGGAGCGGUCUACGUGCCUCCCCUCAUAUUGGGGCCCCAGUCGUCUGUGUAGCUCGCUGUGCCGAGGACGGCCGGGGCAUCUCCUAUCUCUCUGUUCCGUGUCUCAUCAGGGUUCAGAUACCGGAGUAAUUCCCCGGUUCGAAGAGGGUCGAGGACGGCCGAGGCAUCUUCUAUUUCUCUAUUAACCAUCUGCAGCCUUUUCUGUUAUCUUCAUUGU